AUUCUUUCGGAGAUUUCUUUGGAAUGAUACAGAGAAGAUUAGCAUGACUCAUAUACAAUGAUGACACGAGAAAUAGUCCAAAAAAAUUGCCAAUUGAU
This 98-nucleotide small nuclear RNA is filed under the name Arabidopsis halleri subsp. gemmifera. The record is from RNAcentral. Lineage: Eukaryota; Viridiplantae; Streptophyta; Magnoliopsida; Brassicales; Brassicaceae.